AANAAAACGACUCUCGGCAACGGAUAUCUCGGCUCUCGCAUCGAUGAAGAACGUAGCGAAAUGCGAUACUUGGUGUGAAUUGCAGAAUCCCGUGAACCAUCGAGUCUUUGAACGCAAGUUGCNCCCGAAGCCUUCGGGCCGAGGGCACGUCUGCCUGGGUGUCAUGC
Molecule: ribosomal RNA, 167 nt
Filed under: Passiflora foetida
Lineage: Eukaryota; Viridiplantae; Streptophyta; Magnoliopsida; Malpighiales; Passifloraceae
Description: 5.8S ribosomal RNA
Rfam family: 5.8S ribosomal RNA
About the family: 5.8S ribosomal RNA (5.8S rRNA) is a component of the large subunit of the eukaryotic ribosome. It is transcribed by RNA polymerase I as part of the 45S precursor that also contains 18S and 28S rRNA.
Source: RNAcentral